RNAcentral lists this ribosomal RNA (234 nucleotides) under uncultured bacterium. RNAcentral's name for it is "partial 16S ribosomal RNA". It matches the Rfam family "Bacterial small subunit ribosomal RNA", at positions 116 to 334 of the family's 1533-position model. The record is from RNAcentral.
CGUGGGUAAUCUACCUUCGAAUUGGGGAUAACGUUACGAAAGUGACGCUAAUACCGGAUAAUAUCAUAGGGACUUUGGUUCUUAUGAUCAAAGAUGGCCUCUCCUUGGAAGCUAUUGUUUGGAGAUGAGCCCGCGUCCCAUUAGCUUGUUGGUAGGGUAAUGACCUACCAAGGCGACGAUGGGUAGCUGGUCUGAGAGGAUGAUCAGCCACACUGGAACUGACACACGGUCCAG